This is a non-coding RNA of Misgurnus anguillicaudatus (oriental weatherfish), 1886 nucleotides long. The record is from RefSeq and is a predicted model, not a curated record. NCBI's taxonomy places the organism in Eukaryota, Metazoa, Chordata, Actinopteri, Cypriniformes, Cobitidae.
UAACUGUCCAUGCUAUUGGGUGGAACCAACGGAAGCAAGAAGGCCUUCAGCAUUAUCCAGCAGAUACAUCAAGAAAGGCUGAGUCUCAGAGACGGGAAGAUUUGAGCAGUGAACUGGGGUGUCCUGAGAACAUUGUGAAUCAGUGGGUACAAGAUGUCAGACAAAAGGCUACUGAUGGAUUUGGUAGGUACCAGAUGUGAUGACCUACACAACCUUCAGAAAUGAAUUGAACAAAUGUUUCUUAGUCUUCAUCGAAAAGCCAGCCUUUAUAUUCACACUGAAUCCAGCAACACCCUCACCAAGAAGAUUUCAAAAGUGCGCCUUCAAGAAGCAAAGAUCAUUGUGAUGAGGGAGAUGAGACACCACUGCACCGCACCUAUCUCAGAAGCCUGGCUAGGAACAUCAGGAAAAUGAUAUCAGAAAUGUCUUCAGGCAAAAACAGUGGCAGUUUAAGUGAAGAGUGUCAUCGCUGGCUACUGUGUCGUCUUCAGAAAAGGCUUGCAGAUGUAGAGAAGUUCCAAGUUUGCUCAAGUUACAGCCAGGCUUUAGGACAGUGUUCUUCACUCCCAACCCCGGAGAGCCGGUGUCCUGCAGACUUUAGCUCCAACCUUAAUCAAACACAUCUGAAAGCUAAUCAAUGUCUUCAUGAUCUCUAGAAAAUCACAGGUACGUGUGUUUGAUUAAGGUUGGAGCUAAGCUCCGCAGGACACCGGCUCUCCAGGAUUGGGAGUGAAGAACACUGCUUUAGGACCAAAUGCUGUUUCUCUGCUGGAGGAUGAGCCUGAGGAGAUACUGGAGGACCACAAAGAGCUGGAUUAUGAGAGUUCAGAUGACAUUUUGGAUUUGGAACUCUGAACUGGUGUAUGCAUUUAGACUGUGUGUCACACUGAACUGCAGGUGUGUUUCAUGGAAAACAUAAAACUAUUUGGAAAUGUAAUGGAUGUCUGAUACAGUGCUUUUAUUUUAGACAACCGUUUCCUGCAGUCUGUAAGCAACAUUAGCCUCAUAGAUUGAUGGGAAACUACUGUUAAAUAAGUUUUUGUAUGAUAAUCCAUAUCUCCGUUUACAAGCAGCAGGUUAGCUAUUAGGUUUCCCCUCCACCUCCGAUGUUUCACAGACUACUCCUACAGUCAACUGUGUUGCUACAACUUGCAAAUGCCACAAUCCUCUUGCAGUGGUUACUUCACCAAACUGUGCCCAUAUCAUCUUGUCAACAUAAUGACAUUUACUGUAGAAAAAUGUGCAAAUCUAUUUUGCCUGUGUUACAUAUGUUACUAUUAUUGUUAUAUAGUUUUAUACUGUAUCAAGUUUUUUUCACAGUGAUUGUGGAUACUUUUGGAGUGAACUAACUGUAUGUCAUAAGAUGAAAUACUUUACAUAAAUGACUGAUCAAUAACCUACCCAUAUUUGAUGCAUGAGUUAAUACUGUUGUUACCUUUUCAAUGAAAGGAAAUGUUUUACAAUGUCAUUUUCUUGAGGUAAUUAUUAAACUGUUUCAUAUAUGUACCUGCAAAAUUGUUUACUUUUCCCUGUUUUGAAAAAGAGAUGUAAAACUGCUUUAUUUAUUUAUGCCUUAAAAAUAUAUGAUAGUUUAAUACAGGGUAAAUAUUAAUAAAAACGUGUUAAUUAGUUAGUAUAUACAGUUGUGUUGUAUUAUUUAUGGCAUAGUUGUUAUAAUUAAUACAAGUUUUUCAUUACACUGCUGCAUAACUUUGCUCUAGAUAAUAGUAGGGUAUUAAUACUAGACAGUUCAAAGAUGAUUAACUUUUAAGUUAUGUAUACUAUAAAUACAUAUAUUUACAUAUAGUAUGUGUGAAUGCUUUUGGUCUUUGAUUAAAUGCUUGUCAGCACGGGAAAAUGCUUUGUAAAUAAAGUUAUUUUUAUUA